AUCGCUUCUCGGUCUUUUGGCUAAGAUCAAGUGUAGUAUCUGUUCUUAUCAGCUUAAUGUCUUAUGUGUCCUCUAUCAGGGACAACAUAUUAAAUGGAUUUGUAGCAGUGGGAGUUGAAAAACGGGGCUUGCUCUAUUUGCAUAGACAUGGUACGGUGCGCCCUUCUUCUGUCUUUGUGUAAAACCA
RNAcentral lists this small nuclear RNA (187 nucleotides) under Sander lucioperca (pikeperch). RNAcentral's name for it is "U2 spliceosomal RNA (ENSSLUG00000016276.1)". It matches the Rfam family "U2 spliceosomal RNA". From Rfam's summary of the family: U2 is a small nuclear RNA (snRNA) component of the spliceosome (involved in pre-mRNA splicing). Complementary binding between U2 snRNA (in an area lying towards the 5' end but 3' to hairpin I) and the branchpoint sequence (BPS) of the intron results the bulging out of an unpaired adenosine, on the BPS, which initiates a nucleophilic attack at the intronic 5' splice site, thus starting the first of two transesterification reactions that mediate splicing. Lineage: Eukaryota; Metazoa; Chordata; Actinopteri; Perciformes; Percidae. The record is from RNAcentral.